ACCAGCAACCUCUUGGGCA
This 19-nucleotide small nuclear RNA is filed under the name Arabidopsis thaliana (thale cress). RNAcentral describes it as "snRNA_14265". The record is from RNAcentral. Lineage: Eukaryota; Viridiplantae; Streptophyta; Magnoliopsida; Brassicales; Brassicaceae.